Long non-coding RNA from Aegilops tauschii subsp. strangulata, 453 nucleotides. RefSeq lists it as uncharacterized. Lineage: Eukaryota; Viridiplantae; Streptophyta; Magnoliopsida; Poales; Poaceae. The record is from RefSeq and is a predicted model, not a curated record.
UCUUAUCAACGCGUGGAGGCGGGCAUCUUAUCGCCCUAAGAAGUCAGAUGGUUUUAUAAACCAUCUAGACGAUGGGCCGAUUGUUCACCGUCGUACUCUAUGUGAUAUCACAAAUGUUCAACAACCUUCAUAUGUGAUCCCUGGUACUUAUUUGGGAGAUUUACAAUGUCGUUAAUUAUAUGUGCGUAUUUGACAAUCAUACUAUUUGUGAUUAUGUUUAACUUCUCUUUGCUUUCUGAACGCCCGUGGUGGAUAACUAUAGGAACUAAUGUUGGGGCGGAUCAUAUGUUGGGGCAGCUAAUCAAACCCACGCGAGAUGAUAAGCACAGGAAAGUUGAUCUUCGUCCCCUUUGUAAUUCAAAUGACCCAGCUAGCUCGGUUGAUACAUCAAUCUCGCAUAAUGAAUCAACAUAUCCUCCUAAAGCUACGGGAGCGUCUGAUGUAAUUGCAGAU